GGAAAUGCAGGGGCAACAGGGGAAGUCAAAAAUAUAAACGGACUACAAAAUGGACUGUUAAUCCAGGGAAGAGGGCAGUGACUCAUUCUUUCAUCGCUGUCCCUGAAUGCGCCUGUUCACUCUGCUGGGAAGAGACCUCCUAUCCUGUUCCCCACCUGUCCCUUAAGCUAGAAGUACCUCCUCUGUCACCAGGGUCCACCCAGGCCACUAAAGAGAAAUGAAAUGAACAACUUAUCAGAGAUGUUUCCAAGUGUUUGGGCUAAAGACAAUCCUGGAAGGGGCGACCAUGGGUUGCCAGUGAUAGUUCAGCUUCUGCUGAGGUUGUGCCCAUUGGAGUGGGACAGUACUCCAUCAGGGGAUCAAGACCCAGGAUUUACGGGGAAUGGAUAUGUGGGUGGGAACUAUUUGCCCAACUAUUCCCCACCCUUAUUCUCUGCUCAGCAUGCUGCUGCAAAGGGUUUAUACAGUCCUGGAUUGAAAGGAUGCAUUUUUCCCCCUUCCUUUGUCAAAACUAAAUGUAUCUUUGCAUUUGAAUGGACUAACCAGACCUGAACCUGCUUAUCUUAGGGUUUCAGCAAUUCCCCAAUGGUCUAUUGAUGAUGCCCU
Molecule: long non-coding RNA, 606 nt
Filed under: Rattus norvegicus (Norway rat)
Lineage: Eukaryota; Metazoa; Chordata; Mammalia; Rodentia; Muridae
Description: long non-coding RNA NONRATT002778
Source: RNAcentral